Molecule: long non-coding RNA, 394 nt
Filed under: Zostera marina
Lineage: Eukaryota; Viridiplantae; Streptophyta; Magnoliopsida; Alismatales; Zosteraceae
Description: long non-coding RNA (ZMAR_LNC003107)
Source: RNAcentral
GCCGUAGCAGUCGGCUAUCGGGCGCGAGUGGGACCUCCUCUGGACUGUCUCCUGAUAGUAAGUAUAUGUAAUCGUUUUUUUUUUUGAAAUUUCUAUCUAAUUAUACAUUACAAAUUUUGAGGGAAACAAUAAGAAAUUGGUUAAAAAAUAUGUUAUAGUUAUGGAGGUGAGCAACAAGAAACUACGUGUGGUUGAAGAUCGAGAUAAGAUUUCAUUAAAUCUGAAGAACACCACUAGAGAAGUGGAGGAUGUCAAGACUGGUCAAACAAGCCAAGUGAAAAAUGUCUGCAAUGAAGAUCAUGCCCCGACUGAAAAUCCAUCUGAAGAUAGGCAUAUGUCUGAUAUAGAAGAAUAUAAUCUUGCUAAAAAAAUUGAAGAUGCAGCUAAAAUAGGU